This 2866-nucleotide long non-coding RNA is filed under the name Nicotiana tabacum (common tobacco). RNAcentral's name for it is "long non-coding RNA (NTAB_LNC014471)". Lineage: Eukaryota; Viridiplantae; Streptophyta; Magnoliopsida; Solanales; Solanaceae. The record is from RNAcentral.
AAACAGUAACAACAAGUUUCAAACAAACAGAUUGCUUUUCUGGUUUUCAUUUCAACUUCAACUUUUCACAUGAAUUCAUGCUUCACAUUUUCAGCUUACAACAGCCAUGUUAAAGUCGUGUACCUGGUAUUGAAAACAAGAACAGAGGAAGGUGAGGAUCAGCGGUAGUAGCAAACAACAAAACAACAACAGUAGUAGCUAAAAUAGCCCAGCAACAGAUUAAAACCCAGCAGUAACUUCAGAAAAUACCAAACAGCAGCACCAAAUGCACCAGAAAAUCCAAGAAUGCAACCCAAAUACCAACAACAAUAUAAACACCCACAAUAUGACCAAAACUUGAGUUUGCAACAAGAGAUAGACCAGCAGACUUUCAGAAAAUUCCCACAGCUCUCGAUGAAACAGUAACAGAGGUAAAUACUGAUUUCAACAGUAAAAGGGAAGCAAAUUUUUCUUCUUUAAAUAUCAAACCCAUUAAACUUUAGUGUAAAAUUUUUAGCCUACUUAAAUCUCUAGCUUCAACACUCUUGUUUUUCUCUGGCUUCUCAGGAUCCAAAAAAAAACCAGCCUCCUUUUGUUCUAAAUGAGCCUAUUUAUAGGCAAAGUAGGCAAGCACCAGGCUGCCUUGAUACCUUCAGACCUUAACUCUGCCCAUACCCCUUAACUUCCCAUGCCUAAGUAUCUUUUCUUGAUGCCCUAUAUUGUUCCCCAUGCUUGUCCUAUUGUUCUAAUCAAGAGUUAUGAGUUUAUUAGAGUAUUCAUUUAAAACUCCCAUACUCUUAUGUCUUGUUCCCCAUUGUCAUUAGAUUAAUAGUAUUUUAAUUAACCACUUGACAGACCCUUAAGUUAAUUCUAAUAAAACCUUGUCAAAUGCAAAAUUACCCUUAACCCCCUAAAGAUUACUGUUAUGCCCUAACUCUUAAUAGUCAGUAUAUAAACCCCUCUAAAUUCAACUAAUCACUGAUUACUAACUAUCAGAUUAUACAACUAUGACCAAUUCAAUCCUAUCCAAACACACAAAAUGAUUUCAGACAUAAGGGAUGAGGGAAUGAGGUUCAUGUGGCCUUAAAAUAAGCGAGCCAGUUUGAUUCAAAGAAGCAAUUGGAUACAUUCAACAACUUCAACUCAAUCACAUAAGAACAGAAAAGAAGCAGAAAUGACAAACACUGGAAUGAGUCAAAGAGAUAAACUAUUGUCAUGCUUCCUCCUUCUUUUAAUCAUACUAAACGACGAUAUUUAAACAUUCGAUUACACACUAUAAUGGAUAACAAUUAAUUGAUACACAAUUAAACUCAACAUGGCACCUAUAUGAACCACUUGACGAUAUUAAUCAGAUUAAACACGUAGUCCAUCACGAUAGGUACAACUAACAGACAAACAAAAGACUCGACUAGAUAAAAGGUCUUAUGAAGACGGACAGAAUUAAAAGAGAAAUGAUAGAAAAAUCAAACAAAUUAAACUAACAUGUAAACAAACACAAAUAGCACACAAACAGAAGGAAAGAAAGGAGAAAUUACCUCGGAAGCUUAAGAACAAAAAUGACCCAUGCUCGAACUGGACUCGACCUCUUUGAGGUCGAAGGGACUUUAAUUGAAGUGUCCUCAACUGAGAACACCUCAAUUAAGGUCUAUUAGACCCCAACUCUUCCUUUAAACUGGACAGACCCCCAUGGUUUUGAUUCUAGGGUUCAUACGGUCCGAUUUGGGGCUCAAAGGUCUCUACCUAGAUUCGAACCAAACCAAGCUUGGUUUGGUUACGAGUGAGGCCAGGGGAGUGACUGGUGUGAAUUUGGGGUCGGUUGGUGUAGAUCAGGUUUUUGCUCGAACCUUCAAAUGAAGAUUCGAGACGUUCGGGGAAGAUUCGAGGUAAGCUGAGUAUGGAUUUGGAGAGAGGGGGUCAUGGUGGUUCAGGGGUGUAAUUUUGGCUGGCAUCGGAGCCGACGCCGCCGGGUUUUCAGGCGAAGGAAAAGGUGGCGGCUAGGGUUUCAAGAAGGGUUCAAGUCUCUGAACUCAAAGACGAAGAGGGGGGUUUGGCUAUGGGGGCUGGGUAGGUGUUUUAGGCUUAUAUAGUGGGUGGGGUUUUUAAUUCUGGCCGUUUGAUCAAACGAGAUCGACGGCCUGGAUCAUUUGCUUGAGUGGAAACGGUGUCGUUUGGUUAAGUGGAGACUGGGUCGACCCGGGCUGGAAUGGAUCGGGUAUCUGGGAGGCCUCAGAGCCGUUAGAUCAAUAGAGAUGGAUGGCUCGGAUCUAAAACGCCUAUACGGCGUCAUUUAGACUUAUACGGGAGUCGCACUGGACCGUUCGAUCAACGGCUCAGAUUGAGAGCAUCUAAACGACGUCGUCUGGUCCUUCUAAGAGACCCGGUCAUGUGGACUGGGUCAAUGUAUCGAUUUGGGCCUGAUUUCUAUUUGAAUUUUUGGCCCAAUCUGAGUUUUUUUCAUUUUUCAACUUUUCUUUUUCUUCUUUUAAUUUUCUAAUUUAAACACAAUUCCUAAUUAAAUUGUAAAAUCAAAAAUAAAACUACACAAAUAUUAAUUAAUACUUACAACAAUUAACACACAAAUUAAAACCUUAAAAUAAAAUCACACAAUGACAACGAAUAGAAUAAAAAGGUAUAUUUUUUUUGUGAUUUUCCUUUUAGAGCCAAAUGAUGGUUUAAUUAAUUCCUAAAUGCAUAAUUAAAUCCUAAAUAUGCAUGCAAUAUGUAUUUUUGUAUUUUUUCAAUUAACUAUAAUAGGGUAAACAUUUUACGGACAAAAUAAUUACCAAAAAUGUCACGCGAAUUCUCAAAAUUGUACCCGAAGGCAACUUGCUUCAUUUCUCGAUUUCUUUUGGAGUAAUUUCCGUGAAGCAAAAAUCACGUGCUCACA